UUUUCAAAUCAGUGAAAUUAAUCUCCCCGUGAAGAAGCGGGGAUACUCAUAUAAGACGAGAAGACCCCAUGGAGCUUCAAACCCAACUACACCCCUAGCUCUUAUAGCCCCACAACCCCCCUAGGCGCCGUGUGCUUGGUUUUAGGUUGGGGCGACCGCGGAGUACAAUAAAACCUCCACAAUGAAUGGGAACACCCCC
Molecule: ribosomal RNA, 199 nt
Filed under: Mantidactylus melanopleura
Lineage: Eukaryota; Metazoa; Chordata; Amphibia; Anura; Mantellidae
Description: partial 16S ribosomal RNA
Source: RNAcentral